UCUAGCUUCCCGGCUGCUUUGUUUACCCAAGCAAGCCUGGGCAAUGGCGGGCGCCCCUCCCCCAGCCUUGCUGCGGCCUUGCAGUUUGAUCUCAGACUGCUGUGCUAGCAAUCAGCGAGACUCCGUGGGCGUAGGACCCUCCUAGCCAGGUGCAAGAUAUAAUCUCGCGGUGCGCCGUUUUUUAAGCCGGUCCGAAAGCGCAAUAUUCGGGUGGGAGAGACCCGAUUUUCCAGUGAGAUGAACCCAGUACCUCAGAUGGAAAUGCAGAAAUCACCCGUCUUCUGCGUCGCUCACGCUGGGAGCUGUAGACCGGAGCUGUUGCUAUUCGGCCAUCUUGGCUCCUCUCCUGCACUGCAAGAAUGGACUAAUACGCUAUGUGAAGACAAAGGGGAUGUCUGCAAGCCAGGACGAGUGCGUCUACCAGAAACUGAGUUCUGCUGGACUUUGAUCUAGGACAUCCAGCCUCCAGAAUGGAAUGUGCCAUAUGUGGAGACCUGCAUGGAAAGGAACUGAGGAUGCUCUCUCACUAAAAGCUAGAAGGAACUGAGGCCCUCAGUCAACAGUCUACAAGACACUGAAUCUUGCCAGCAGCCAAGCAGUGAGCUUGAAAGCAGAUCUAUCAUCAGCUGAACCUUCAGAUGAGACCGCAGCCUAAGCAGAUACCUUGGUUGCAGCCAUGUGAGACAACCUGAAACAGAGGGCACAGCUAAGCCUCAGCCAGGUUCAUGACCCUCUGAGGAAACUGUGAGAAAGCAAAUGUCAUUUUAAGCUAUUUAAUUUUGGAGGUAGUUUAUUACACAACAAUAAAUAACUAUUAUAAUUAUCUUGAGGAUUUAUUUCCUGGGGAGAAUACAUGGAAUUGCAUAUAUAGGUCCUCAUAUGCAGAAUACUGGUACCCUAGAGAUGUUCACCCCAGAGAUGUUUUAGGAACCUGUGAAUAUGUUACAUUAAAUGGCAAAGUUUUCCUGGAUGGUUUAAGUUUAAGAUGGAAAAGUUUUACUGGAUUAUCCAGUGGGUCCAAUCUAGUAACAUGAGUCCUUAAAAAUGGAGAAUAUUUUUUGGCCAUGAUCAGAGAGACAUGUGAUGAUGGAAAAAGUGUCAGAGAUGCAAUGUGAGGGGACUAAAACUGCUGUUGCUGACUUUAAAGAUGGAGAGAGGGGAACCCGAGUCAAGGAAUGCAAAUGGCCUCUGGAAGCUGGAAAAAGCAAGAAAUGGAUUCUCCUUUAGAGCCUGUGGAAUAAAAUGCAGUCAUGCUGACACCUUGAUUUUACCUCAGUGAGACCAAUACUGGAGUAUGACCUUCGGAGCUGAAUAAAAUUAUACGUACACAUCUUAAUUUCUUGGGAUUUGAUUACUUCUUCUGCUUUGAAAUUAGACCAAGUUUAGCCUGCCUUUGCUAUUUUGGCGUAUCUCCAAUUCUUCAUGAUUUUCUCAUCGCAAAGGCCACAUAAGGACAGUGAGAAGGCAGCCACCUGCAAGCCAGGAAGAAAGGUCUCACCAGAUACCAACCCUGCCAGCAUGUUGAUCUUGGACUUCCAGCCUCCAAAACUGGCCUUCUGCUCACAUGGGCUUCCGUGCACCUGCUUCAGGAGACAGCAACACUUGCGCCCGCACCGCGGCAGGCUCCCAUCACCUGGUGGAUAUGCCGCGCCGAGUCUCAUCACACCUUAGUGAAGGAACACAUGGACCCAUAUGUUAGCGGAUGUAUUUACAUCGUUUUAUACAGAAAGGGGAAGAAAACUGCAUACCUCAGAAAGGGGUUGCUCCUCACUCUGAGUACUAGACUAAAGAUAAAAAGACUAGAUAAAAGUACUAGACUAAAGACAGAGCUGACCCAUGACAGGAAACCAAUACAGAGUUUUGUACUGGAAAGUGAGGUGCUGCUGUAACAAGUACCUGAGAAUGUGGGAGUGGCUUUGGAAUUCAGAAUUGGGUGCUUCUGGUGAAAACUCACAUGGAAAUGAGGAACAUGUUAUUGGAAACUGGAAGGUGUAUAUCUAGAAGUGUAAUUGCUGGAUCAUAUGGUUACUAUAUGUUUAACAUUUUGGGGAACUGCCAAACUAUUUUCCAAAGUGGCACAAAGGAGAAUAUAGGAAAAAAUGUAGUUGAAAGGUAAAUUGAUUUUAUUAAUGUUGAAUUUGGAGUGUUUACAAGACAUAAAGAAGGGUAUUUUCAGAAGAUUGAUAGCUAUAUGGGUCUUAUGCUUAGGGGAAUAGUAUGAGUUUGAGAAACAGGUCUUGGCAUCGUCAACAUGUACAAUUAAAGAUGUGAGAAACCAACAGCUCACCCAAAGAAAGUAGACAUUACCACAAGGAAGACUUACAUAUCUAAGGUCAAUUCAGAUAGCAUGCAUACACUGUGUGAUGGAGGGCAGGAAAGGUGGAGAUUAAUUAGGACUUGGCAGGCAAUUGAUCAGAAUUUUUUUUCCCAUAGCAAGAAGAUUUGCUUCGUGGGAGGAUUUCACUGGGCAGAGCUGGACAUACAGAGAGCAGAGAAGGACAUUCCCACAUAGAAUCUUAAAUCUUGAAUGCUAGGGAAGAGCCUACUAAGCGGAAAAGUGUGGGAAAGGCUUCCAAACAUGGGAAAUGGCAUAUAUAAAGGCAUAGUUGUUCAAAAUGUCUUCAUUUGAACUUCAGGAUAAUUAAACAAUUAGCAUCCAUUUGUUUGUCAGUCUGUGCCAGCAUUUUAUUAGGUGCUGCACACAAAUUAUCUCAUUUAAACCUUACAACAAUCUUCAUUCUAGAGAUGAGGAAACAGACACAAAGAUGUUAUAUUAACUAGCUAUCAAAGAUGACAUAGCUGGAAAAUGGUAAAGUCUUGGUAAAACCCAGGGAGUUUGAGACUAGAGCCUGCACCUGACAUGUGAAGCAACUCAUCGAAAUAAUUUUAAGUAUUAAAGACCAUUAGUCAGCACCAGUGGUGUGCUCCUGGUAGCUGAUAAGGCGCUCCCAAUCUUGGUACCACUUGAUGAUCUAGUGGCUUACUUGAUAUGUUUUUCAUUGUUCUUUUUCUUUUCUUUUCUUUUCUUUUCUUAGAUGGAGUCUUGCUCUGUCACACAUGCUAGAGUCCAGUGGUAUGACCUCAGCUCACUGCAAUCUCUGCCUCCCGGGUUCAAAUGAUUCUUCUGCCUUGACCUCCCUGGCAGCUGGGACUACAGGCCUGCACCACCACGCCUGGCAAAUUUUUUAAUUUUUUUUAGUAGAGAUGGGGUUUCACCAUGUUGGCCAGGCUAGUCUCGAACUCCUGACCUCAAAUGAUCUGCCCGCUUUGGCCUUCCAAAGUUCUGGGAUUAUAGGAGUGAGCCACCAUGCCCAGCCUGUUCUUAAGUCUCCUAGAACAGGGAUUCUGAAACACAAAACUCAUCUGGUGAGAAGAAUGAGAGCAAGAGAGGUUAAAUGGGUCGUUCAAGUUCAUAAAGUACUGACAGAAGAUGACCCUGAACUGUUCUCACUAUAUUAAAAGUCAGACAAGUAUUAUUAUUAUUAUUACUAAUAUAAGUAGCUCCAAUUUAUGUGAUUCUCAUGAUUUGGAGGACCUUACCUAUAUUAGCUUAUUUAAUCUACACAGCAAACCUAGAUGGUAAAUAUUUUCAUUGCCAUUUUACAGAGGAGGAACUGAGGUUCCUGAGGGUUAGGAAACUUGUAACAUGAACUCCAUACAGAUAUACAGAAUGAUAUAAACAAAUAAACAAAUACAUAAAUGUGGAAGAAGUAAAAGCUCUUCCUUGGAGUAAAAGGCCACCUAAUAAAUGAGGCAGGAAUGAUAAAAUUAGAGAAAUCAUUUGCAAACAUCACAGUAUUAAUUGCUUAAAGGAAGAAUUAUAAAUAGAUAAUAAAGCUAGUGGGUGAAACAUUAAUGGGACUAAGAUAUUUAUCUAGCCCCAAAAGUUUUGCUCCAUAAAAAUACUUACUUAGGCUGGGCAUGGUGGUGCACACCUGUAAUUCUAGCACUUUGGGAGGCCGAGGUGGAAGGAUUACUUGAGCUUAAGAGUUCAAUGGCAGCCUGGACAACAUAGUGAGACCGCAUCUCUAAAAAAAAAAUUAGCCAGGUGUGGUAGUGCGUGUAUGUAUUCUCAGCUACUCAGGAGGCUGAGGUAGAAGGGAUCGCUUGAGCCCCAAGUUGAGGCCACAGUGAGCUGAGAUUGCACCACUGCACUCCAGCCUGGGUUACAGAGAGUGAUCCUGUCUCAACAAUAAAAUAAAAUAAAAUGAAAAAAAUAUUUAUUACAAAUGAAAAAAAUGACAUGUUUACACUGGAGAGGCCUACAGGCAUCAUCUUAACCAAUGAUCAAAGUUAAUAUCUACACGAAUAGGACAAAUAAUAUCAUUUCCCUCCUGACCUCAUGCAUGUUUAAAACACAACAUAACUUCUUGGUUAUUUCUGUCAAGAGUGCAUAACCUGAAACUAAUCAUAAGAAACCACCAGAUGACCCCACGAUGAGAGGUAUACUAAAAAAUAACUAAGCUAUUAUUUUAUUUUAUUUAUUUUUUGAGACAGAGUCUUGCUCUGUUGCCCAGGCUGGAGUGCAGUGGCGCAAUCUCAGCUCACUGCAACCUCAGCCUCCUGGGUUCAAGAGAUUCUCCUGCCUCAGCCUCCCAAGUAGCUGGGAUUACAGGCUUCUUUUUGUAUUUUUAGUAGAGAGGGGGUUUCACCAUGUUGGCCAGGCUGGUCUCAAACUCCUGACCUCAGGUGGUCCACCCACCUCGGCCUCCCAGUUUUGGGAUUAUAUGCGUGAGCCACUGCACUCAGCCACCAGACUUUUUUUUUUUUCUUUUUACUUUUUUUGAGACAGCAUCUCCCUCUGUCGCCCAGGCUGGAGUGCAAUGGCACAAUCUUGGCUCACUGCGACCUCCGCCUCCCAGGUUCAAGUGAUUCUCCUGUCUCAGCCUCCUGAGUAGCUGGAACUACAGGCGCCCGCCACCACGCCCGGCCAGUUUUUGUGUUUUUAGUGGAUAUGGGGGUUUCACCAUGUCGGUCAGGCUGGUCUCGAACUCCUCACCUCAGGUGAUCUGCCCGACUCAGCCUCCCAAAGUGCUGGGAUUAUAGAUGUGAGCCAUCGUGCCUGGCCUAUUUUGAAAGCAACAUAUAAUCCAACUUUUUCUUUUGUUAUAAAGAGCAAUAUAGGAACAAGGAGUGAAACACCAAGGCAAUUUGACAGUUAAAUGGUAGAAGUAGAUCAGUGUUAAUUUCCUGAUUUUGUAAUUAUACUGUGGUUAUGUAACAGAAUGUUCUUGUUUUAGAAAGUACACAUUGAAUAAUCAAUGGUCAUCUUGUCUGUAACUUAAUUUCAAAUGUUUCAAUAAAAAUAUGUGUAUGUUUGUGAGUGAUAAAACAAAUGUAGUAAUGUGUUAACACUGAAAAACUCUGUGAGAAGAUAUACUGGAAUUCUUUCUAUUAUUAUUUUUAAAUUUUCUUUAAAUCUAAAAUUAUGUCAGAAAGAAAGCUAAGGGCUGAGUACACUAGCUGAUGCCUGUAAUUCCAGCAGUUUGGGAGGCUGAAGCAGGAGGAUUGUUUGAGGCCAGGAGUUUGAGAUCAGCCUGGGUAACAUAGUGAAACUUCAUCUCCAUAAAAUAUUUUAAAAAUUAGCUGGGUGCAGUGGCAUGAACCUGUAGUCCUAGCUAGUUGGGAGGCUGGGGCAAGAGGAUUGCUUAAGCCCAGAAGUUCAAGGCUGCAGUGAGCUAUGAUUGUGCCGCUAUACUCCAGCCUGGGCCACAGAGCAAGACUCUAUCUCAAAUAAAUAAAUAAAUAAAGUUAAAGAAAAUAAAAAGAAAUCUACUACAGCCUCAGCUCUGGGAAUUAAACCAAUCCAGUCUUCCUGAGCUCAGAGGCCAUGCUCUCUAUCCUCAUGCAUCAGCGGGUAUGUGAAUGCCUGUGUUUCCUCAUCUUGACGGAGUUGUUCUUGCCUUAUACCUGAGUCUUCUACUUAUUACCAUGAGGCAGGGGGUUCUAUUUACUUAGAUUUAUAUCUCUCAUGUAAUUUCAGUAACACUGAUGAGCUUUGGUAGACAGUGCAGUACAAAUGUGAAGUCUUGAAUCUCUUAAUUAUCCUUUGUGAACUCAGUUUUCACAUCCAAAAGGAGGUAUAACAAUAUCUACCUCAAGGAUUGUUGUGAGAAAUAAAUGUAAUCAUUAGGGGAAAAUACAUAUAUUUUGAAAGACAUGGUGGUUUUUUAAAACAAUGUUAAUUGUUGCUCCAGACUAAAUGUGUUUCAUCUGCUAUUCCUCACCUCCCCACAAAAUUCAUACAGUAAAACCUUAGUCCUCGAUGUGAUGGUAUUUGCAGGUGGGGCCUUUGGGAAGUAAUUAGGAUUAGAUUAGGUCAUUGGGAUGAGGCCUUCAUAAUGAGAUGAAUGCCCUUAUAAAAAGAGGAAGAAACACGGGAUCCCUCCCUCAGCAAUGUGAGGAUACAGCAAGAAGGUAGCUGUCUGCAAACAAGGAAGUGAGCCCUCACCAGAUACUGGAACUGUGAGAAAUAAAUGUAAUUGUUUAAACCACCCAGUCUACCAGUCUAUGGCAUUUUUGUUGUAGCAUCUCAAACUGACCAUGACAAUUGUGUUUUUCUCUUCCCUUUUGUAUGUACCAUGACAUGUAGUUUACGCACUGAGAGCAUCUAAAGAAUUUGAAUGAGGAGCAAAGCUUUUUCAAAGGUUGGAUUAAACUACAAUUGUCCUCUCCAAAGAAUGUUCAGCUAUCCUUUAUGUACUCUGUUGCAAGUAUUUCAAGAAGGAGGCAAAGAGUUCUAAGAUGCAUUUCACAGCACUCCACAGAAGGAAGGUUCAGAGCCAAUCAUCUGCACCAGUGCCCAACUUAAAAACAUCCUUGUAUCAGUUUUCCCUUAUUUCCUGUUCUCCUCCCUAAACCUUCAGUCCUGUUCCUGGCAAUCACUUCCAGAAUAAACCAUAUACAUGCCUCAGAUUCUGAUCUCAGAGGAUCCCAGACUAAUACAGAGAUACACUAUGCUGAUUGCUUAACCCGCAUUUUCUCAUUUAAUUGAAACAUAUACGUGGUAAGGUAUUUAUUCAUACCUGCAUGAUUUUGUAGAUAAACCUUAGAGAAAUUAAUACUUUUCAGAAGGCAAUUAAAGUAACACAGCAAGCAAUUGAUAAAACCUGGAUUCGCCAAGUUAAACUGGUCUGGUUUCAAAACCUGUAUUGUUUCCUAACAUACCACCUAAAUUCUCAAAUGGUAUUGGAAGGGGUUAAAUGAGAUUAUAAAUGUAAAAUUCUUGGUAUAGUUAAUUCUCAAAAAUAGGCCUUCAAUCUAUAGAAUCCAUUUGUAGAACUAUCUUCAGGAAGGAAAAAUACAUCACCCUCCACCCCACCCUCAAAGAAACAUGGAAAAUUUAAACUAAGACUUCAAAUCUUGAGCUCUGCACAUCUUAGAAUAUUUUGUUUCUAUGAAAAAGAAGCUUUGGAGAAUGUGUAUCAGUCUGAAACACUGUAGUGUGAGCACAGAAAUCAGCCCAUCACAUUAUGCCCCAAAUGCUGAAGUACGGCUGAAUCUGAUUGCCCUGCAUUUUUAAGUACUGCAAAAUUCUGGGACUUGGGAUCAUCUGUUACUACAGACUUGUCAUAUUCCACUGAAAUAAAACAUAUAGUCUAAUUUGCAAAGUUCUCGUGUGGAAAGAGUCCUAAAAUGUAUAUAACCUCUGUCCCAGCAAUUCCAUUAGGAAUUUAUCCAAUCCAAAAUCUAAAAUGCAGAAGAUCUACAUAUUGAAUGCUUAUGGCAGCAUUCUUUAAAAUUAUGAAAAUUGAAAGCAACCAAAAUCCUCAAAAACAGACUAAUGGCUAAGUAGUAUAACCAUACUAUGAAAUGUGGUAAUUGAAUAUUCAAAUUUGUGUUGUAUAAAAAAUUAAUAAUGGUAUAACAUUUGGCUAUAAAAUAGAAUGAAUUCAAUUGUAUUUUUUAAACCAGUACAUCUGCAUAUUUGUGAACCUAAAAGAUAAGACGGUAAAUAUUUAACUGUAUUUUUCUUUAAUUGUUGGGGCUGUGAAUUAUUUUAAUUUUCUUAAUGCUUUUUAAUCUUCUCUGAAAAUUUUAUAAUAAUCUCUAAUAAUAAUUUAUAGCAAAAAAACCCAAAAUUUUAAAGGGUAUUCUUUUUGUAUUUUUAUCAAGAAUAAAAAUAUAUAUCAAU
This 8134-nucleotide long non-coding RNA is filed under the name Homo sapiens (human). Its description in RNAcentral is "HSALNT0007826". Lineage: Eukaryota; Metazoa; Chordata; Mammalia; Primates; Hominidae. The record is from RNAcentral.